This 253-nucleotide ribosomal RNA is filed under the name uncultured bacterium. RNAcentral describes it as "partial 16S ribosomal RNA". It matches the Rfam family "Bacterial small subunit ribosomal RNA", at positions 524 to 776 of the family's 1533-position model. The record is from RNAcentral.
UACGUAGGGUGCGAGCGUUAAUCGGAAUUACUGGGCGUAAAGCGUGCGCAGGCGGUUCUGUAAGUCAGCUGUGAAAGCCCCGGGCUUAACCUGGGAACGGCGGUUGAAACUACAGGACUAGAAUCUGGCAGAGGGGGGUGGAAUUCCACGUGUAGCAGUGAAAUGCGUAGAGAUGUGGAGGAACACCGAUGGCGAAGGCGGCCCCCUGGGCUGAGAUUGACGCUCAGGCACGAAAGCGUGGGGAGCAAACAGG